This is a long non-coding RNA of Mus musculus (house mouse), 328 nucleotides long. RefSeq annotates it as predicted gene, 42299. The transcript is spliced from 3 exons. Lineage: Eukaryota; Metazoa; Chordata; Mammalia; Rodentia; Muridae. The record is from RefSeq and is a predicted model, not a curated record.
UGAUACCAACAAGCAUCUGUUGAUAUUUCUGGAAAUUGGAAGUAAUCAUAAACCCUUACAUGGCUCAGGAGAUACCAUGGUCAUAGUGAGGGGAGGAAGACACUGUGAUCAUGGAGGGGGCAUUCCCAGGAUGAGGUUCAUCCAUUAACCUCUGAUUGUACAGAUUCGAAUUGAAGCUCACAAUCUCAGAAGGACAGGAUAUACAACUUCCUUCUCUUUAAUUUAAACUAAUGUCUAAAUUCUGAAACCCUAGUGAAGUUCCUGCCUAAAGCUCUUUCUUUGUCUCCUGAGCAGCACAGGUGCUCCCCAAAGACAGGCUAUGCUUGAG